This 431-nucleotide long non-coding RNA is filed under the name Nicotiana tabacum (common tobacco). RNAcentral's name for it is "long non-coding RNA (NTAB_LNC000164)". Lineage: Eukaryota; Viridiplantae; Streptophyta; Magnoliopsida; Solanales; Solanaceae. The record is from RNAcentral.
AAGUUCAGUUUAGGAUUUAAAAUCCUAAUGCUGACUGAAUGGAAAAAUUCAGUUUAGGGUUUAAAACCCUAAUGCUGACUAAAGGGAAAGUUCAGUUUAGGGUUUAAAACCCUAAUGCUGACUGAAUGGAAAAGUUCAGUUUAGGGUUUAAAACCCUAAUGCUGGUUAAAGGAAAGAGUUCAGUUUAGGGUUUAAAACCCUAAUGCUGACUAAAGGGAAAGUUUAGUUUAGGGUUUUAAAACCCUAAUGAUGACUAAAUGGAAAAAUUCAGUUUAGGGUUUAAAACCCUAAUGCUGACUGAAGGGAAAAGUUCAGUUUAGGAUUUAAAAUCCUAAUGCUGACUGAAGGAAAAGUUCAGUUUAAGGUUUAAAACCCUAAUCCUGACUAAAUGGAAAAGUUUAGUUUAGGGUUUAAAACCCUAAUGCUGACUG